AUACUCCUUCCCCUUAGGCCCUUUUAACUUUUCCGGAGGGAACACCAUGAUAAUCAUAUUGUCAGGUUAGAUAUUUCAUUUUAUGAUGUGGAGUUUGUACAAAUUUCUAAAUCCUAAGCCUAAGCAUCUUUUUGCUUUCAGUUUCUACUCAAGUCUCAUUCUUUUAGAUUGAGUAACUUUCUUGUAAUGAGGGAUGGGACUCCUUUCGGUGAACUUGUAUUUUUGUUUGCCCUUAUACAUUCUUUCAUAUUUCUCUAUGAAAUCCCAGUUUCUUACAUAAUUUUUUUUAUUACUUUUAGAUCCCUCUGACUUAAAAGUUCCACAAUAGUUCACUGUUGACCAGUAUCUCCCUCUGAUUUAUGUUCUCAAUGAUUUUCUGUUGACCGGUAUCUCGUAGUCUUUGUUUGAUUUGCGGAUGAAUUUUCCUUUCUUUUUUACCCAUCUUUGGUUUGAGCUUUUUCCAGCUUUAGCAAUUUUCAUGUCAGGUAUAGGUCCCAUGAUUAUGUGAAGAUCAAAUCCUUCCAUUUUGCGCUGCUUAUCUUGCUUUAAGAUUGUUUUUUCCUUCACCAACUAUUUUUCUAAAUAUUUUCUCAAUUAAAGUUCCACUAAAGAAAGUAGCGAGGCCAGGCAACAUAAUAAUCAACUUUUUUUCAAAUGAAAUACCCGCUUUCAUAUCUGAUUAAUGAAAUACAAAGCAUGGACCAGUCGAAGAAAAGCUCAAAACAGAAAAGUCCUCAGAGAUAUAAGAAUUGCAUUCUAUUCUCAUAUUUCUCAUUGGGAUUUUUUCCCCACGUUUAUACCACCUUACCCGCAUUGGUUAUUGUGUACUUAUGAUAUUUAUUUGCUUAAUUUUGGUUUUUUUCUGUCACCUGUUGGAUAGGGAAUCUUUGGAUGUGUCUGCACUUCUCUCUCUUCUGGAAGAUGCCCAUCCUCGCUUCAUGUGUAUAGAUAUUCAUUUUUUUCUAUAGAUAUUCAUUCUUCUCGUUGUGGUCGGUGAAAAUUUCUAAGAAGGUUAAAUUUUUUUCUUGGUAGUCUUACCUGGGAGAGUCAGCACUAUUAGAGUGCAUUAGGUACACUUCCCUCUUGUUAGGGCCAUAUUGGUGAAUUCUUUGUAGGGGGUGUUCGAGACUUUGGGUCAUAUCCUUGGAGAUGGAUUUUGCUCUCUUGAUUUGGAACUCAUUUAUGGAGGCAUUUGGUGUGUGCAUGACUCAAAAUGCUCCCAGAUUUUUUUUUCUCUCCAUAUUUUAUGUAUCAUUUGACUAGAAAGGAACGGGAAGAUUUUUAGAGAGUUGGAGAGGUCGUGAAAAAAGAUGUCGGCUCUUGCCAAGUGUAAUCCCUCUUUGAGUGUCUGUCUAAAGUUUUUUUCAACUAUCCUAUCAGCUUUGUUAUUUUUUAUUGGAGCUGUUAUUCUAUGGCGUUAGGUCUUUAGGUGUUGGUUCGACUCUGUUUUUUGAGUGGUGUUUUAUGUCUCUUUUGUGUUCUUUCAUUUAUUCUCUUUCGGUAAGAAAAAAGAUUCUCAUAUUUCUUUCUAGUAAGAUAUUCUAGAGAGUAGCAAAGAAAUAUUUCUUCCAAAAAGCCACCUCUUGCAUUACAAAAAAUGUUCAAGUAUAACAUAUUCUGACAACCUCUACUUAAGUAGAUUUUUAUUGAUUUGAAACUUUGUGUUGUGAUACGACACAUAAACCUUUCAGGUGCUUAAUGAAAAAUCCACACAACAGUCGACCAUUUAGGUAAAUUCCAAACAAUAAACACGAAGUACAAGCUAAAUGAACUGUAUUCAAUAAUAAAAUCUCCAACCAUGGUCGACCACUUAGGUAAAGCCCAAACAAUAAACACAAAACACAAGCUAAGUUAAAAGUACACGAUAAUGAAAUCUCCAACCAUGGCCAAUGUAAGCAUGACCUAACAUUACUCAAAGCUGUCAUCUCUGUAGACAUGCAUUAGGCUUUAAACCAUUGAGACUCUUUGGACAAAGUCUGGCAAAUCCUCCCUAAAACAACCAAGAGACCUGUGAUCGUUCGAGGCCUUUUGAGGUUCUUACUUAUACUUAAAGGACCCUUUCCACUUUUAAGCAAUGUGGAGUUCAGCCUGUUUUCCUUGUUGAAUAAUAACCAUCAGAUGCUCAACUGAAAA
Cucurbita maxima (winter squash) is the source of this 2133-nucleotide long non-coding RNA. RefSeq lists it as uncharacterized. Lineage: Eukaryota; Viridiplantae; Streptophyta; Magnoliopsida; Cucurbitales; Cucurbitaceae. The record is from RefSeq and is a predicted model, not a curated record. The transcript has 2 exons.